Molecule: ribosomal RNA, 484 nt
Filed under: uncultured bacterium
Lineage: Bacteria
Description: partial 16S ribosomal RNA
Rfam family: Bacterial small subunit ribosomal RNA
Source: RNAcentral
AUUGAACGCUGGCGGCAUGCUUUACACAUGCCAGUCGAACGGCAGCGCGGGGUCCGCCCUGGUGGCGAGUGGCGAACGGGUGAGUAAUGCAUCGGAACGUGCCCGGUAGUGGGGGAUAGCGUGGCGAAAGCCACGCUAAUACCGCAUACGACCUGAGGGUGAAAGCGGGGGACCUUCGGGCCUCGCGCGAUCGGAGCGGCCGAUGUCGGAUUAGGUAGUUGGUGGGGUAAAGGCCUACCAAGCCGACGAUCCGUAGCUGGUCUGAGAGGACGACCAGCCACACUGGGACUGAGACACGGCCCAGACUCCUACGGGAGGCAGCAGUGGGGAAUUUUGGACAAUGGGCGCAAGCCUGAUCCAGCCAUGCCGCGUGCAGGACGAAGGCCUUCGGGUUGUAAACUGCUUUUGUACGGGACGAAAAGGCUUUGGCUAAUACCUGGGGCUCAUGACGGUACCGGAAGAAUAAGCACCGGCUAACUACGUG